AUUGAACGCUUGCGGCAGGCCUAACACAUGCAAGUCGAGCGGAUGAAGGGAGCUUGCUCCUGGAUUCAGCGGCGGACGGGUGAGUAAUGCCUAGGAAUCUGCCUGGUAGUGGGGGAUAACGUCCGGAAACGGGCGCUAAUACCGCAUACGUCCUGAGGGAGAAAGUGGGGGAUCUUCGGACCUCACGCUAUCAGAUGAGCCUAGGUCGGAUUAGCUAGUUGGUGGGGUAAAGGCCUACCAAGGCGACGAUCCGUAACUGGUCUGAGAGGAUGAUCAGUCACACUGGAACUGAGACACGGUCCAGACUCCUACGGGAGGCAGCAGUGGGGAAUAUUGGACAAUGGGCGAAAGCCUGAUCCAGCCAUGCCGCGUGUGUGAAGAAGGUCUUCGGAUUGUAAAGCACUUUAAGUUGGGAGGAAGGGCAGUAAGUUAAUACCUUGCUGUUUUGACGGUACCAACAGAAUAAGCACCGGCUAACUUCGUG
This 484-nucleotide ribosomal RNA is filed under the name uncultured bacterium. Its description in RNAcentral is "partial 16S ribosomal RNA". It matches the Rfam family "Bacterial small subunit ribosomal RNA", at positions 30 to 507 of the family's 1533-position model. The record is from RNAcentral.